CGCGGGGUAGAGCAGUCCGGUAGCUUGCGAGGCUCAUAACCUCGAGGUCGCAGGUUCAAAUCCUGUCCCCGCAA
RNAcentral lists this transfer RNA (74 nucleotides) under Planctomycetia bacterium. RNAcentral describes it as "tRNA-Met". It matches the Rfam family "tRNA". From Rfam's summary of the family: Transfer RNA (tRNA) molecules are approximately 80 nucleotides in length. Lineage: Bacteria; Pseudomonadati; Planctomycetota; Planctomycetia. The record is from RNAcentral.